RNAcentral lists this ribosomal RNA (1444 nucleotides) under Bacillus amyloliquefaciens. RNAcentral's name for it is "bacterial SSU rRNA". It matches the Rfam family "Bacterial small subunit ribosomal RNA". Lineage: Bacteria; Bacillati; Bacillota; Bacilli; Caryophanales; Bacillaceae. The record is from RNAcentral.
GAUCUGGCUCAGGACGAACGCCCUCGGCGUGCCUAAUACAUGCAAGUCGAGCCCACAGAUGGGAGCUUGCUCCCUGAUGUUAGCGGCGGACGGGUGAGUAACACGUGGGUAACCUGCCUGUAAGACUGGGAUAACUCCGGGAAACCGGGGCUAAUACCGGAUGGUUGUUUGAACCGCAUGGUUCAGACAUAAAAGGUGGCUUCGGCUACCACUUACAGAUGGACCCGCGGCGCAUUAGCUAGUUGGUGAGGUAACGGCUCACCAAGGCGACGAUGCGUAGCCGACCUGAGAGGGUGAUCGGCCACACUGGGACUGAGACACGGCCCAGACUCCUACGGGAGGCAGCAGUAGGGAAUCUUCCGCAAUGGACGAAAGUCUGACGGAGCAACGCCGCGUGAGUGAUGAAGGUUUUCGGAUCGUAAAGCUCUGUUGUUAGGGAAGAACAAGUGCCGUUCAAAUAGGGCGGCACCUUGACGGUACCUAACCAGAAAGCCACGGCUAACUACGUGCCAGCAGCCGCGGUAAUACGUAGGUGGCAAGCGUUGUCCGGAAUUAUUGGGCGUAAAGGGCUCGCAGGCGGUUUCUUAAGUCUGAUGUGAAAGCCCCCGGCUCAACCGGGGAGGGUCAUUGGAAACUGGGGAACUUGAGUGCAGAAGAGGAGAGUGGAAUUCCACGUGUAGCGGUGAAAUGCGUAGAGAUGUGGAGGAACACCAGUGGCGAAGGCGACUCUCUGGUCUGUAACUGACGCUGAGGAGCGAAAGCGUGGGGAGCGAACAGGAUUAGAUACCCUGGUAGUCCACGCCGUAAACGAUGAGUGCUAAGUGUUAGGGGGUUUCCGCCCCUUAGUGCUGCAGCUAACGCAUUAAGCACUCCGCCUGGGGAGUACGGUCGCAAGACUGAAACUCAAAGGAAUUGACGGGGGCCCGCACAAGCGGUGGAGCAUGUGGUUUAAUUCGAAGCAACGCGAAGAACCUUACCAGGUCUUGACAUCCUCUGACAAUCCUAGAGAUAGGACGUCCCCUUCGGGGGCAGAGUGACAGGUGGUGCAUGGUUGUCGUCAGCUCGUGUCGUGAGAUGUUGGGUUAAGUCCCGCAACGAGCGCAACCCUUGAUCUUAGUUGCCAGCAUUCAGUUGGGCACUCUAAGGUGACUGCCGGUGACAAACCGGAGGAAGGUGGGGAUGACGUCAAAUCAUCAUGCCCCUUAUGACCUGGGCUACACACGUGCUACAAUGGRCAGAACAAAGGGCAGCGAAACCGCGAGGUUAAGCCAAUCCCACAAAUCUGUUCUCAGUUCGGAUCGCAGUCUGCAACUCGACUGCGUGAAGCUGGAAUCGCUAGUAAUCGCGGAUCAGCAUGCCGCGGUGUAUACGUUCCCGGGCCUUGUACACACCGCCCGUCACACCACGAGAGAUUGUAACACCCGAAGUCGAUGAGGAACCUUAG